Vicia faba (fava bean) is the source of this 343-nucleotide non-coding RNA. NCBI's taxonomy places the organism in Eukaryota, Viridiplantae, Streptophyta, Magnoliopsida, Fabales, Fabaceae. The record is from the annotation of a GenBank genome assembly.
AAAAAAAAAAAAAAGAACCGAAAAUUUAUUUAUCUCCGAAAAUAUUAUUAUUGUCUCAAAAUCUCGGCGUUUCGCGAUUCUCACUCUUCUCUCUCUCACCCAACCUCGAUUUUCUCUCUCUAGUUUCUCUCUCAUCAUCGUCGCGCUUCCUUCGCAGAAAAUCUCUGAGAUUUUCGCUAUUUCCAGAACGAUCAAAAAAUUCCAUCGAUCUAUCUAUACAUCAACACCCUCACCAACAAAAUCAUCACAACAAGAAUCCCUCCCUUUAUCUUCGGAUUUUUUCCCUUUUCGCCACAUAAGCCCUAGAACUAGAAAUUUUCAUUCAUUCACCAACCACCGUUAA